This is a long non-coding RNA of Lolium perenne, 207 nucleotides long. RefSeq lists it as uncharacterized. The record is from RefSeq and is a predicted model, not a curated record. Lineage: Eukaryota; Viridiplantae; Streptophyta; Magnoliopsida; Poales; Poaceae.
GGGAGAACAAUUAGUGAUCCUAGGAACAGGCUAAAGAGUGACACGGUCGAGGCGCUGAUAUGCCUCCAAGAUUGGCUAAAGGCUGAUGAUCCUAAAACAACCAAUAAAGAUGUUGAGGAGGAAGAAUACUUGGUUUUCUACCAAGAAAGCGAGUGCCAUGAAGAGACUACGCCAACAGAAUUAGCUUGUGGAACUCAACAAACAGGU